GACGAACGCUGGCGGCGUGCCUAACACAUGCAAGUCGAACGGAAAGGCACUGCUUGCGUGGGGUGCUCGAGGGGCGAACGGGGGCGUAACACGUGAGCAACCUGCCCUUGACUUUGGGAUGACUUCAGGAAACGGGGGCUAAUACCGGAUAGGAGCCCCCGCUGCAUGGAGGGGGUUGGAAAGUUUCGGCGGGUGGGGAUGGACGCGCGGCUUAUCAGCUAGUUGGUGGGGGAGGGGCUUACCAAGGCAUUGACGGGUAGCCGGCCUGGGAGGGUGACCGGCCACCUUGCGCCUGCGAUACGGCCCAGACUCCUACGGUGGGCAGCAGUCGGAAGUAUUGCCCAAUGGUCGGGCGCCUGAUGCGGCGACGCCGCGUUCGUGAUGACGGCCUUCGGGUUAUAAACCGCUUUCGCCUGUGACGAAGCGUGAGUGACGGUACUGGGUAAAGAAGCACCGGCUAACUACGUG
Molecule: ribosomal RNA, 468 nt
Filed under: uncultured bacterium
Lineage: Bacteria
Description: partial 16S ribosomal RNA
Rfam family: Bacterial small subunit ribosomal RNA
Source: RNAcentral